AGUUCGAUCAUGGCUCAGAUUGAACGCUGGCGGGAUGCUUUACACAUGCAAGUCGAACGGCAGCACGGACUUCGGUCUGGUGGCGAGUGGCGAACGGUGAGUAAUGUAUCGGAACGCCUAGUAGCGGGGAUAACUACGCGAAAGCGUAGCUAAUACCGCAUGGGCCGCCCUCGGGGAAAGCGGGGGGACCUUCGGGCCUGGCAGCACUAUUAGAGCGGCCGAUAUCGGAUUAGCCAGUUGGUGGGGUAACGGCUCACCAACGCGACGAUCCGUAGCUGGUUUGAGAGGACGACCAGCCACACUGGGACUGGAGAGACACGGCCCAGACUCCUACGGGAGGCAGCAGUGGGGAAUUUUUUGACAAUGGGGGAAACCCCGAUCCAGCCAUCCCGCGUGUGCGAUGAAGGCCUUCGCUGUAAAGCACUUGGCAGGAAAAGAAACGGCACGGGGAUAAUACCCCGUGCAACUGACGGUACCUGCAGAAUAAGCACCGGCUAACUACGUGCCAGCAGCCGCGGUAAUAUGUAGGGUGCAAGCGUUAAUCGGAAUUACUGGGCGUAAAGCGCGCAGGCGGUUCGGAAAGAAAGAUGAACCAGAGCUUAACUUUGAACUGCAUUUUUAACUACCGAGCUAGAGUGUCAGAGGAGGUGGAAUUCCGCGUGUAGCAGUGAAAUGCGUAGAUAUGCGGAGGAACACCGAUGGCGAAGGCAGCCUCCUGGGAUAACACUGACGUUUUAUGCACGAAAGCGUGGGGAGCAAACAGGAUUAGAUACCCUGGUAGUCCACGCCCUAAACGAUGUCAACUAGCUCGUUGGGGGCCUUCGCCUUGUAGCGCAGCUAACGCGCGAAGUUGACCGCCCGGGGAGUACGGUCGCAAGAUUAAAACUCAAAGGAAUUGACGGGGACCCGCACAAGCGGUGGACAUGGAUUAAUUCGAUGCAACGCGAAAACCUUACCUACCUCUUGACAUGUCUGAAUCCCGAAGAGAUUUGGGAGUGCUCGCAAGAGAACCGAACACAGGUGCUGCAUGGUUGUCGUCAGCUCGUGUCGUGAGAUGUUGCUGUCCCGCAACGAGCGCAACCCUUGUCAUUAGUUGCUACGAAAGGGCACUCUAUCGAGACUGCCGGUGACAAACCGUGGAGGAAGGUGGGGGAUGACGUCAAGUCCUCAUGGCCCUUAUGGGUAGGGCUUCAUUAAUGUCAUGCAAUGGUCGGGACAGAGGGUCGCCAACCCUGCGAGGGGGAGCCAACUCAGAAACCCGAUCGUAGUCCGGAUCGCAGUCUGCAAUCGACUGCGUGAAGUCGGAAUCGCUAGUAAUCGCGUGAUCAGCAUGUCGGUGAAUACGUUCUCAAGUCUUGUACACACCGCCCGUCACACCAUGGGAGUGGGUUUUACCAGAAGUAGUUAGCCUAACCGUAAGGAGGGCGAUUACCACGGUAGGAUUCAUGAUCAGUGGUUGCAACAAGGUAAC
RNAcentral lists this ribosomal RNA (1471 nucleotides) under uncultured Bordetella sp. RNAcentral's name for it is "partial 16S-23S ribosomal RNA intergenic spacer". It matches the Rfam family "Bacterial small subunit ribosomal RNA". The record is from RNAcentral. Lineage: Bacteria; Pseudomonadati; Pseudomonadota; Betaproteobacteria; Burkholderiales; Alcaligenaceae.